AUGUUUCCUUAAAAAUUAAACAGAAUGACUAGCAAUUCUACUCCUAUGUACAUAGCCAGAAGAAUUGAAAACAGGUUCUCAUAAAAAUACUUGUACACAAAUGUCCUUAGAAGCGCUAUUCACAAUAAAGAAAAAAUGGAAGUAACCCAACAGUCCAUCAACAGAAGAAUCACGAGCGUUGUGGUAUUAUGCAUGCUAUGGAAUAUCAUUCAGCCAUAAAAAAGAACACAGCAUUGAUACUUGCUACAGUGUGGAUAAAUCUCAAAAACAUGCGAAGUGAAAGAAAACAGGCAUAAAAGGUCACAUGUUGCACAAUUCCAUUUAUAUGAGAGUCAGAAAGCAAAUCUGUGGUUACCACGGGUAGGGUGGGUGGGAGGUUGGGGAGUAAUUUGUUUGUUUAUUUUUUGUCUUUUGGAGGCUGAACCCAUGAUAUAUAUGGAGACUCCCAGAGUGGGCAGAAUUAAGAGCUGUAGCUUCCAGCCUGUGCCACAGCCACAACAAUGCCGUAUCUGAGCUAUGUUUGCGACCCACACCAUAGCUCACAGCAACACCGGAUCCCUAACCCACUGAGUGAGGCCAGGGAUCAAACCCUCAUCCUCACUGAUACUAGUCGGGUUCAUUAACCGCUGAGCAAUGAUGGGAACUCCUGGGGAAUAACUGUUUAGUGUACUAAAUGUCCACUUUAAAAUGGUUUAAUUUUACGUUAUGUGGAUUUUACUUCACUAAAAAAAAAUGUAAAUCUAGCAAAAACUACAUAACCAACAAACCUAUUUCUUCAAGACGUAAUGUAAUCCUUUAUUAAAGUAUAGUUGAUUCACAACAAAUUGAUGUGCCAAUUUUGGCUGUAGAGCAAAGUGACUACAUUUUGUGUGUGUGUGUGUGUGUGUGUGUGUGUGUGUGUGUGUAUAAAUUUUCUUUUCCAUCAUGGUCUAUCCCAGGAGACUGGAUAUAGUUUCCUGUGCUAUACAGUAGGGCCUUCUUGCUUAUCCGUUCUAAAUGUAAUAGUUUGCAUCUACUAACCACAAACUCCCAGUCCAUCCCCCUCCUUACCCCUCCCCUUGACAACUACAAAUCUGUUCUUGAUGUCGGUGAGUCUGCCCAACAAACCUAUUAAGAAUAACACAGCCUCCUUCUCCACAGUCUUGAUAAAAGACUGCCUGCUAAAUUAGAAUCAGUAAUUUUUAACAAGUAGAACCAGUAAAUCUAUUUAAUCGACAAUAAUCUGAUUCAGUAACCUUGCCUCCGGAAGCCAGUCAUUCAAUGACAGUCAAACUUUUGAAGGUCAACCAGUCAACAAUAAACUUACCACUGAAAGAAUCUUCUGAAAGCCAGAUGGCCAACAUGUCUUGCCAGAAUGACCACGUUUGGAGUUCCUGUCAUGGCUCAGUGGUUAACGAAUCCGACUAGGAACCAUGAGGUUGCGGGUUCGACCCCUGGCCUUGCUCAGUGGGUUAAGGAUCCAGCAUUGCCAUGAGAUGUGGUGUGGGUCGCAGACGCGGCUCGGAUCCCGUGUUGCUGUGGCUCUGGUAUAGGCUGGUGGCUACAGCUCCGAUUCGACCCCUCGCCGGGGAACCUCCAUAUGCCGCAGGAACGGCCCAAGACAUGGCAAAAAGACUAAAAAAAAAAAAAAAGAAUAACCACAUUUGUAAGGGUGACGUCAACCCACUCCACCUCUGUAACCAACACAACACCAAAACAAUACCUGACUCAGAAACCGUAUGUAAAAUUAGCAGUUGGAUUUACUCAAAAUGACAAGCCUAACCAGCACAACUCUCCCUUUCUUAAGUAAUACAGUUUUUAUUUCAGAUAUCAUGUGAUCACUUUGGUCUCUCCCUUAGACAAUCCUCACACUGAGAUUUCUAAUACCUCACCUGACAGUAAUCCACCGGACCCUUGGACCAACAGGAAAGAUCAGUGGCCUCUUGAGUCCCAAACGCCAACAGUCCUCAUAUCUGUUGUCAAGUGAGUUUCUCAGAAACUAUCUGAACUCUGACUAGGUUCACUGAGCUUUAAUUGCUGAAUUGAUUUUAUCUAAGACUUCUAAACAAACAGAUCUUCAUAUAACGUUACUUAGUACAUUUAGGUCUGUCUUUAUGAUAAUCAAGACCCCCUGCUUGGUUUUCCUUCACGUUCUUGUUCAUCUAUUUAUAUAAAUUCUUGUCUUCUGUGUUCUUAAUUUGUCCUUUAUUGUCUUGUAUCUGUUUAACAUACAAGGAAGUACUUUAGAGGAAACAGAUGGAGGUAUAAGUCAAGUCUCCAAAUCAACAUAAGUCGGCGCUAAAGCUAAUGAUCCAUUAGGCUGAUGUCCACUGGCUGCUAAAAUGAUUGGUCAAACUUAGCCUUGGGUUCCCUGCGAGAUCCUCUUAAGAGUAGUCCCCAAGGCCUGGCAGUUUGUGAAAGAAGUUCAUUUUGUUUAGUCCAUAUUUUAGGAUCAGUUGCUGGAGUCACUGACCACAUGGCUCCUUCCUAUCCUCUCGGUUGAAGAACUUCAAUCACUAGCAAACACACUUGACUGAUGUGCCUUUUUCUUGUUUUUCACUGAUUGUCUACGUCAAAGGCACAAUCUCCUUCUGGCCAAAUUUUUGUUAUAAACCUAACUCUUGCGCUUAACUUUUUUUGAUUGUUUGUUUGUUUGUUUUUUGGUCUCUUUAGGGCCGCAUCUGUGGCACAUGAAAGUUCCCAGGCUAGGGAUCCAACUGGAGCUUAAUUAGCAGACUCCAAAAACAAACCCAGGAAAAAUUUCUGACAAUAUUCUGGAGUAUCCCCAAGAACUAACAUAAAGACAGACAGCCUUGUCCUUUUUUUUUUUUUUUUUUAAAAUGGACUCAGAAAUGCCAAUUUAGAUGACCUCCAACACGUCAUUCAACAUUUCAAAAAUCUAGGAGUUCCUGUCGUGGCGCAGUGGAAACGAAUCCGACUAGGAACCAUGAGGUUUCGGGUUCA
RNAcentral lists this long non-coding RNA (2943 nucleotides) under Sus scrofa (pig). RNAcentral describes it as "lncRNA (ENSSSCG00035030972.1)". The record is from RNAcentral. Lineage: Eukaryota; Metazoa; Chordata; Mammalia; Artiodactyla; Suidae.